RNAcentral lists this non-coding RNA (30 nucleotides) under Homo sapiens (human). The record is from RNAcentral. Lineage: Eukaryota; Metazoa; Chordata; Mammalia; Primates; Hominidae.
GAUCUGGUGCAUAAAGUCAGGCUUGGUUGU